AUGAGCAGUGGCGUACGGUGUCACCUUCUGUAUCAAAGUGCCGAUUGGAGAUAUACUUAUAUCAGUCUCGUAGCUAGUGGUGAUUACUACAGAUAUAAUGUAUUUGGUGACAGUCUGAAGAGCACUCAACAGUAUUCGUAUUGAUUUAAAAGCAACCACAAAGUACACACUACGCGUAGUGUGAUUCGUAGUAUUUACCGUGGCCUGUUGCAAUCGUACUACGAAUAGUCUGUUGUGAUGUUUUGUUAAAAAUUUGAUUCAGUUCUUGCUAUUUCGAUAAGUCUACUACUCGUAACGAAUUCAAAUUUAAACGCAUCUAAGCGAGAAAAUUCGAGCUUAUGAAACUAAAGAUACAUUUCGCUGAAAUACUUGAAAUUAUUGAAAAUAUAGUUGGAAAAUCAUAAGAAAAAUUUCACUAGCUUCGCGUGAUUGGGAACAGGACCGUGCACUCAAUUGAAAUUCGAAACAAUCACCAAUCAAAUGGUAUUUGCAACGAAAUAAGUUACCUGGCACCAUCCCCUCGUCCUAUUCAUUCGCAAUUGCUUAACUUAAAUAUCACAUCCACGCUCCUCGUGGUUGACCAGUAAAAUUCUAAUAUCGAUAUCGGUUCCCAACGAAUUGUGUGAAUUCCAAUCGGUUUGUUCGAUGUGAGAUAAUAUUUUCGUGGAUAAUGGAAUUGGUUUCGUUACCGCAAGUGAUGUAAUCUAGAACAGAGUCAAGAAUCUGGGAUUGCUAUUAAAACCAGCAAUUAUUCCGCAGAAUAUCAUUAUUUCUGGUGACGUUGAAUUGCAUGUGUGACAAUUAAAGUGUUUGGUGAAUUUGGAAAAAAAUUUGUUGAUGAACCUCGCCUGAUUGGGGGUGAAUUUCGAACGGUUGAGUGUUAUUGGUUAUAUGUGCCAGGACCAGUGUUAGAUUUUAUAAUAAGCUGAUCAGUCAUUUGAAUAAUAUCAACUACAAUAUUACAAAAGAUCCUUUUCCAACAUGAAGUUCAAUUUAUUCUCUCCAUCUUCCAAAAGUGAUGAGGAUAGCGACCAAAAACCUGAGGAGUUGCUGAAUCCACAGAAUGAAAAAGAAAAGGAGAAAGAUCGGGGGAAGUGUUAUUCGCGCCAGAUAACGAUUGAUGAGGAGCCAGAUUCGUUAGAAAGUAUUAUCAGUAAUCCAACGGCACUACCCAUUACAGUGGUUCGUAGCCGUCCCACUAGCCUCUAUAAAUGUUCAGUUCACGGAAAAAGUUUCAGCAGAUCCAGCAGUUGCAGAAGUCGUAACUUGCGCCCCGGGAGUGUUCGGCGAGUUCGAAAAAGAGCAAUUCUGAAGAAUGGAGAUUGCAAUGUGUUUCAAGCGAACUUAACAGGACGUCGGAUACGUUUUCUACAAGAUGUUUUCACAACUUUGGUGGACUCCCAGUGGCGAUGGACUCUCCUCGUAUUUGCUUUAGGUUUCAUACUUUCGUGGCUAGGAUUCGGUCUAAUCUGGUGGCUAAUUGUUGUGACUCAUGGUGAUUUGGAGGAGAUGCACUUACCUCAACAUCAAGCUGAAAGUGGCUGGACCCCUUGCAUUCUAAACGUCAACAGCUUCGCAUCAUGCUUCCUAUUCUCAAUUGAAACUCAGCACACAAUUGGGUAUGGUUACCGAGCGACAACUGAAGAAUGUCCUGAAGGAAUAUUUGUAAUGUGUAUUCAGUCAAUAGCGGGAGUGAUGAUUCAAGCCUUCAUGGUAGGAAUCGUUUUCGCCAAAAUGACCCGCUCCAAACAACGAACCCAGACACUGUUGUUCUCCCAAAAAGCUGUAAUUUGUCAACGCGAUGGUGAUAUGUAUUUCAUGUUCCGUGUGGGUGACAUGAGGAAAAGCCACAUCAUCGGAGCAAAUGUAAGAGCUCAACUCAUCCGUUCCAAGAGCAGCAGGGAAGGUGAAUACCUGACCACGCAUCACACCGAAUUAGAGGUGGGGACUGACAAAUGUGGGUCUGAUUUGUUUUUCAUUUGGCCGAUGACUGUCAUGCAUAAAAUUGAUGAGAACUCACCGUUGUACAAUAUGUCGGCAGCGGAUUUAUUCUACGAAAAGUUCGAAAUCGCCGUUGUCCUGGAGGGAACUGUAGAGUCGACGGGACAAACCACCCAAGCAAGAUCGAGCUAUUUGAGCAAUGAAAUCAAGUGGGGUUAUCGAUUUGAGCCAGUUGUUACUUACAGCAAGGAAAGACAGGCAUAUGAGAUUGACUAUUCGAGGUUUGAUCAAACCACUAUGGUUGAUACGCCGUUGUGCAGUGCGAAAGAGCUGUCGGGAUUGAAAAGUAAUUUAGGAACACCCGUUGAAAAAGGAUAUCAACCAUCAUGUUCAAUGUCCGAGUAAUGUCAUCCACUAAACAUUAAUUUUAUGUGUUUCUCGUUUCGAAUUUAUUUAUAAUUUAUGUUCCAUAAAUGUUAUGUCGUCAUCACGUGACCGUAAACCGUGCAUUAAGGAAGGAAUAAAACUCCUCCAGCUGUCUCAUAUUCACCAUAUUUAACAGUAAGGUCUAUGGAUGAAAUUCUACCAAGGAUCGAUGAGAAGCCUUCACUUAAAAUUCAACGCAUCGAAAGCGAUCCAUGUGGGCAACAAAU
This 2594-nucleotide unclassified non-coding RNA is filed under the name Hermetia illucens (black soldier fly). RNAcentral's name for it is "g protein-activated inward rectifier potassium channel 3-like, transcript variant X1". The record is from RNAcentral. Lineage: Eukaryota; Metazoa; Arthropoda; Insecta; Diptera; Stratiomyidae.